This 93-nucleotide ribosomal RNA is filed under the name Citrobacter freundii. RNAcentral also lists the same sequence under 27 other names. The record is from RNAcentral. Lineage: Bacteria; Pseudomonadati; Pseudomonadota; Gammaproteobacteria; Enterobacterales; Enterobacteriaceae.
CCCACCUGACCCCAUGCCGAACUCAGAAGUGAAACGCCGUAGCGCCGAUGGUAGUGUGGGGUCUCCCCAUGCGAGAGUAGGGAACUGCCAGAC